Molecule: ribosomal RNA, 406 nt
Filed under: uncultured bacterium
Lineage: Bacteria
Description: partial 16S ribosomal RNA
Rfam family: Bacterial small subunit ribosomal RNA
Source: RNAcentral
AUUGAACGCUGGCGGCAGGCCUAACACAUGCAAGUCGAACGAGUGGCGGACGGGUGAGUAAUGUCUGGGAAACUGCCUGAUGGAGGGGGAUCACUACUGGAAACGGUAGCUAAUACCGCAUACCAUCAGAUGUGCCCAGAUGGGAUUAGCAAGUUGGUGGGGUAACGGCUCACCAAGGCGACGAUCCCUAGCUGGUCUGAGAGGAUGACCAGCAACAGUGGGACGGGGACACGGCCCAGACUCCUACGGGAGGCAGAAGUAGGGAAUCUUCGGCAAUGGACGAAAGUCUGACCGAGCAACGCCGCGUGAGUGAAGAAGGCCUUCGGGUUGUAAAGUACUUUCAGCGGGGAGGCGUUACCCGCAGAAGAAGCACCGGCUAACUCCGUGCCAGCAGCCGCGGUAAUAC